GUAUGUGAUGCAUUUGCCAGGGACAGAACAGGAAUGGAGUCUUAGAAUUUACAAGCAGCAGCCUCAACAACAACCAUCUAAAGCAGAGACAUAAAAUGUUGUUGCAGCAAACAUGUGGAUGCCAAUGGCAGUCUCAGGUGCUAAGCGCCUCUUAGGAUUGGUCUCAUUCUCUCAGGAAGGAGAGAACAAGGACUAAUUGGAACUAACUGGCGGCCAGGAAAAUAUUUAAAGAUGGCAAUGGUAACAAUGUAACAAGAGGCACAACUCACCCCACCUUACUCUAGGCUGGCUGGCUGCUGACUGGCUGCUAAGCGCUGCUCACCAGCUUCCCUAGCCUGCAGGCAUGACCAGGAGUAUUUUGACAGCUUACAACUGUAAUAAAAUUUUCAACAUACCAUGCAUUCUCCACAGCUGGUGAUGCUCCAGCUGGGUUGCUUCCAGCUGCUGACUGGCACCCAAGGAUCUGCCUUUAAUUGGUUUCUGCCUGUUACACUGAUGACUAUGCCUGGUUUUAUGGGUGUCAGAGGUGUGUUGGGACGGUGCUGAAUUAUUAUGAAUUAUUGUGGCUGAUAUGAAUAAGUGUGGUAAGAAUGACUUUGGCUUGGCAUGUUUGAAUUUGCUAGAAGAUUCUGAGGGUUCUCUUAGCAUUAUAUAGAUAGUGUGCAAGUGUAUUGAAAGUGCUGAAAUAGUACUUGAAUGGUUAAUAAAGGCUAGAUUUGAGUGUAUGUUUCAACAUCAAACUUUGAAAUAUAUCAGCCUUGGGAGACCAGCUCACCAAAGUAAAGAAGAGGUAAAAACGUGCGAUCAUUGCAGUUAGUACAGGCGGACAAAGGGUCAAAAUGGCCCUUUUUGGAUGGCAUCACGCUAAGAGCUCAAGUGGAUGAUUGAUGAGUGUGUAAAUGUUGAUUGAUCUUUGGUCUGUGCCCAUUUUGCAGUCCCUUCUAAAAUAUUAAUUUGAGAAAACCAGUAAUGAUAUGACCAAAGGGCAUAUUUCUGGGACAUGGGACUCCUUUGAGAACCAAAGGUAUAAAUGCUAAGCAAGUAAAUAGGUUAAGUUAGUUCCCCAAUUAACAUCUGAAGAGGUCUGUGAUGCUGUGAGACAGAAGGCGUCAGGGUAACCGAGACCCUGCUAUGAGGGACUAUUGUGGGACUUUUGAACCAGAGGGCCUCAGGGUAACCUAGACCCUGCUUCAGGGGACAUUUGACAGAGCAAAUACCUGAGAGGGGGAAGAAAAGAAGUCCCCAUCUAGAAUUGGUGGCUAUACCUGCUUUGUUUGCCAAUCAGGAUACUGUGUAAAGCUAACAUAGUUACUGAGGAUUUAUGCUUGG
This is a long non-coding RNA of Dermochelys coriacea (leatherback sea turtle), 1329 nucleotides long. RefSeq lists it as uncharacterized. NCBI's taxonomy places the organism in Eukaryota, Metazoa, Chordata, Testudines, Dermochelyidae. The record is from RefSeq and is a predicted model, not a curated record. The transcript is spliced from 3 exons.